AGAGACAGCCAUAUCAGCAUCUCAUAUGAUUUUAAUCCAGAUUUGUCUUUUUAAAUUGGAUUUUAAGGUCUGUUGGAUUUGGGGUAUGUUGGAGGAUUUGCCUUUUCAAAAUCCAUAUUUGUUCUCAUGUUUUCGUUUUCUUUAUUUUAUUGUUUGGUUUCCUUUUCAAUUCCCCUUUCAAGAUCUCAUGUGUUAGUAGAUGGGUGUGGGGGAGAGAAAGUAGGCAUUAGAUCCAAAACCCUCCAGAUAAACCCCGACUUGAUGGAAAAGAAUAAGGAAAAGGAAAUUGGCAUGGAAGAAAUCUGGGUGGAUUGAGAGAGAGAAGAUAUUUUUUUUAAAAAAAAAAAUUUGUGUGAGAAGAUAUUUUUGCCCAUGCCAAGUAGGACUUGUCCAUGCCACGUCAUCAUUUUUAACGGAAAAAGUGACUGAGAUGACGAAGAAGACGAUUCCUGAAAGAGAAGGCAUAAUUAAAGUACUACCAUAACAAUUUAGCAAUAUGAGUGACGAAAAGUAAAGUUUAUUUUUAAUCUAGGGACCAUUGCUACAAUUUAACCUGAAAUUAAAAACUUCAUAAAAGUCUAGCACUUAAUUUAAUUCUCCAAAAGUUAUCAUUUUUGCUUUGAAAAGUUUAUGAAGGCCUGCAUAGUUCCGCACAAGAGUACCACUUAAGUAAGCUCCACAAGAACUUAUAUAUCUAAAUCCACUAUAUUUCUUGCCAGUUUGGAAUAAUUUUGAAAGGACUAAAAGUGUUUUCUUACAACUAAUAGCGCUUCUAACAAAGUUUGUUAGAAAAUUUUAGAACUGUUUUUGAGUCAUAGAAGCGCUUUCUAGCACUCCUACAUAAAUUUCUCAUGAAAAUGUCAACAUCUAUAUAAUAAAAGCGUUUUUUAUAAAAGUUCUUCCUAAAAAUAUAGUCCAAAACGAGAUAGUUUAGAGCGGUGGAUGAUAAUGGUCAAGAAAUAUACACAUUUUUAACGUAGAAGCACCAACAUGAAAAGGAAAAAAAAAAAAAAAGACCACACAUGUUAGGAGGUACAAGACAAGGAUGAUGUGAAGGCAUCAUGCGGAGACAAGGAGCAAUUGCAACAUCUUUCAAGUAUUAAAUUGUUGCCAUACUUUUCUUAGCAAUGGUUUUUUUUGCUUACCAAAAAGAUGCAAAC
RNAcentral lists this long non-coding RNA (1160 nucleotides) under Prunus persica (peach). RNAcentral's name for it is "long non-coding RNA (PPER_LNC004153)". The record is from RNAcentral. Lineage: Eukaryota; Viridiplantae; Streptophyta; Magnoliopsida; Rosales; Rosaceae.